This 262-nucleotide ribosomal RNA is filed under the name uncultured bacterium. RNAcentral's name for it is "partial 16S ribosomal RNA". The record is from RNAcentral.
CUGCUGCCUCCCGUAGGAGUUUGGGCCGUGUCUCAGUCCCAAUGUGGCCGUUCACCCUCUCAGGCCGGCUACUGAUCGUCGCUUUGGUGGGCCGUUACCCCGCCAACUGGCUAAUCAGACGCGGAUCCAUCGUAUACCACCGGAGUUUUUCACACUGUUCCAUGCGGAACCGUGCGCUUAUGCGGUGUUAGCACCUAUUUCUAAGUGUUAUCCCCCUGUAUACGGCAGGUUAUCCACGCGUUACUCACCCGUCCGCCACUAA